AACAAAGCAAAUUACUUGCCAGUAUAUUGUUUUUGCACCAGAAUUAGUCUUAGCUUUUGGAAGCUUCUGAUUUGGAGAGGAAAGAUAGGUACCCUUGACAUCAGCAAAUGUCCUUUUUCUUAUGACAGAUAAUGCUUUUUGGGGCCUUGUGAUUAUACGCUGUCUACAACCAGAAAAGAAAGAAUAGCAGUGUUCCAAUAUUUGAGGGCUGUCACAGAGAGCAGGGAGUCAACCUAUUUUCCAAAACACCUGAAGGCUAGACAAGGAAUAAUGGAUGCAAGCUGAUCAAGGAGAGAUUCAACCUAGAAAUAAGGAGAAAUUUUCUGACAGUGAGAACAAUCAACCAAUGGAACAGCUUGCCUUCAGAAGUUGUCAGAGCUUCAUCACUGGAGCCUUUCAAGAAGAGACUGGACAGCCGUCUGUCAGAAACGCUCAGAAAACCCAGAGACAGAUGUAACAGCUGCUGCAACUGCUGGAAACUAAGCCCUUUUCAUUUUUUUUAAAAAAAUUCCACUCCUACCAACCAUCCAUGUGCUCUCCUUCAGUUACAACACUUUCAGAGAAGACUGAGUUCAAAGGCAUACUGAAAAGUCCAACAUUAGGGGGAGGAUAUUUGAGUCCUUGUGUCCAGACUUUGUGGCUUUACAAAACUCAGGUCAACAGUAAGCUUCAAAUAACAAUUAAAAAUAGUAUUGAAAGCA
Pantherophis guttatus is the source of this 701-nucleotide long non-coding RNA. RefSeq lists it as uncharacterized. Lineage: Eukaryota; Metazoa; Chordata; Lepidosauria; Squamata; Colubridae. The record is from RefSeq and is a predicted model, not a curated record.